UGUACACACCGCCCGUCGCUACUACCGAUUGAAUGGUUAUAGUGAGCAUAUGGGAUCAGUAGGAUUUGACUGGCAACAGUCAUUUCCUGCAGAGAACUAUGGCAAACUAGGCUAUUUAGAGGAAGUAAAAGUCGUAACAAGGUUUCCGUAGGUGAACCUGCGGAAGGAUCAUUA
This 174-nucleotide ribosomal RNA is filed under the name uncultured zygomycete. RNAcentral's name for it is "partial 18S ribosomal RNA". It matches the Rfam family "Eukaryotic small subunit ribosomal RNA", at positions 1661 to 1831 of the family's 1831-position model. The record is from RNAcentral. Lineage: Eukaryota; Fungi.